RNAcentral lists this ribosomal RNA (434 nucleotides) under uncultured Clostridium sp. Its description in RNAcentral is "partial 16S ribosomal RNA". It matches the Rfam family "Bacterial small subunit ribosomal RNA", at positions 341 to 792 of the family's 1533-position model. The record is from RNAcentral. Lineage: Bacteria; Bacillati; Bacillota; Clostridia; Eubacteriales; Clostridiaceae.
ACGGAAGGCAGCAGUGGGGAAUAUUGGACAAUGGGGGAAACCCUGAUCCAGCGACGCCGCGUGAGUGAAGAAGUAUUUCGGUAUGUAAAGCUCUAUCAGCAAGGAAGAAAAUGACGGUACUUGACUAAGAAGCUCCGGCUAAAUACGUGCCAGCAGCCGCGGUAGUACGUAUGGAGCAAGCGUUAUCCGGAUUUACUGGGUGUAAAGGGAGCGUAGACGGCGAAGCAAGUCUGAAGUGAAAUCCCGGGGCUCAACCCCGGAACUGCUUUGGAAACUGUUUUGCUAGAGUGCAGGAGAGGUAAGCGGAAUUCCUAGUGUAGCGGUGAAAUGCGUAGAUAUUAGGAGGAACACCAGUGGCGAAGGCGGCUUACUGGACUGUAACUGACGUUGAGGCUCGAAAGCGUGGGGAGCAAACAGGAUUAGAUACCCUGGUA